AUUGAACGCUGGCGGCAGGCUUAACACAUGCAAGUCGAGCGGGGUGAUGGUGCUUGCACUAUCACUUAGCGGCGGACGGGUGAGUAAUGCUUAGGAAUCUGCCUAUUAGUGGGGGACAACAUCUCGAAAGGGAUGCUAAUACCGCAUACGUCCUACGGGAGAAAGCAGGGGAUCACUUGUGACCUUGCGCUAAUAGAUGAGCCUAAGUCGGAUUAGCUAGUUGGUGGGGUAAAGGCCUACCAAGGCGACGAUCUGUAGCGGGUCUGAGAGGAUGGUCCGCCACACUGGGACUGAGACACGGCCCAGACUCCUACGGGAGGCAGCAGUGGGGAAUAUUGGACAAUGGGGGGAACCCUGAUCCAGCCAUGCCGCGUGUGUGAAGAAGGCCUUAUGGUUGUAAAGCACUUUAAGCGAGGAGGAGGCUCUUUUGGUUAAUACCCAGAAUGAGUGGACGUUACUCGCAGAAUAAGCACCGGCUAACUCUGUGCCAGCAGCCGCCGAA
This 502-nucleotide ribosomal RNA is filed under the name uncultured bacterium. Its description in RNAcentral is "partial 16S ribosomal RNA". It matches the Rfam family "Bacterial small subunit ribosomal RNA", at positions 30 to 522 of the family's 1533-position model. The record is from RNAcentral.